This 387-nucleotide ribosomal RNA is filed under the name uncultured soil bacterium. RNAcentral's name for it is "bacterial SSU rRNA". It matches the Rfam family "Bacterial small subunit ribosomal RNA", at positions 26 to 432 of the family's 1533-position model. The record is from RNAcentral.
AGAACGAACGCUGGCGGCAUGCCUAAUACAUGCAAGUCGAACGAACACUUCGGUGUUAGUGGCGCACGGGUGCGUAACGCGUGGGAAUCUACCCUUGGGUUCGGAAUAACAGUUGGAAACGACUGCUAAUACCGGAUGAUGACGAAAGUCCAAAGAUUUAUCGCCCAAGGAUGAGCCCGCGUAGGAUUAGCUAGUUGGUGAGGUAAAGGCUCACCAAGGCUACGAUCCUUAGCUGGUCUGAGAGGAUGAUCAGCCACACUGGGACUGAGACACGGCCCAGACUCCGUACGGGAGCAGCAGUAGGGAAUAGUUGGACAAGUGGGGGGACAACCCGUGAAUCCAGCAAUGCCGCGUGGAGUGAUGAAGGUCCGUUAGGUUAGUAAAGUC